RNAcentral lists this long non-coding RNA (320 nucleotides) under Panax ginseng (ginseng). Its description in RNAcentral is "long non-coding RNA (PGIN_LNC018475)". The record is from RNAcentral. Lineage: Eukaryota; Viridiplantae; Streptophyta; Magnoliopsida; Apiales; Araliaceae.
AAAUUUGUAAACCGAACCAUUUGGAUACCUUUACGAAAUUAUUGUAAUAAGAAAUUUGACAAACACUGUGGUGUACAAUCUGCGGUCGCACAUGCUCCAAACAUUUUGCUGCUGCAAACUCUGGUGCAAAGUGCAAACAAAAUAAUAUAUUCUGAGUGUUACUAUUUUGAUGUAGAACAAUAUAUGGAGAUAGAUCAUUGUUGAAAAUAAUUGAUAAAAAUAAGGGAAUAAUGCAUUUCUUUCAAUUCCUAAUUUUCUAUGCACGGGAAGCUUAAAUCCUCCAGUUUCACAUUAACUCAGGUACAAUUAGAUAGUUUCAG